This is a non-coding RNA of Procambarus clarkii (red swamp crayfish), 532 nucleotides long. NCBI's taxonomy places the organism in Eukaryota, Metazoa, Arthropoda, Malacostraca, Decapoda, Cambaridae. The record is from RefSeq and is a predicted model, not a curated record.
GUACGAGGUGACCUGCCGCGUCAGGACCAACGUGGCGGUCUUCAGGUCCGUCAAACACUUGUCCAAAAUGGCCAGAAAUCCUGGGAUGAUACUCUUAUUUGACGUUGACGGCACGCUCACCGCUCCCAGGAAGUGUGGACACGUGGAGAAAACGAGCUAGCGUGCGAGCCAUCAUGUAAACACACCCCUCGGCACGCCAACCUAACUCUCACGUACUUAACGAUUUUAUCACAAGAGUCCUCCAUUCCUGCGGGACCGAAGGAAGGGGGAACUCGUGGCACUCACAGGAGGAAACGCAGAAGUAGAGAGAAGACUCAGAACCCCUGGGAGCGAGUCCCUCAGCUCGCUACUUUCCGCAACUUAGAUCUGGCAACCCUGACUGACACAACGGGCCAGUACACCGUCGACCACCAGGCGGGGAAGAUGUACUGCUUACGCACAGUAAAUUAGGCCAUGUGGCGCGUGUUUGUGUGUAUAGAAGUGACGAGGCUUCAGGUCUGACUGACGUGGUGUGGGGCGAGUGUCUGAAGUG